GCUACCUACGGGACGCAGCAGUGGGGGAUAUUGCACAAUGGGGGGAACCCUGAUGCAGCGACGCCGCGUGGGCGAUGGAGUGCUUCGGUAUGUAAAGCCCUAUCAGCAGGGAAGAAAAUGACGGUACCUGACUAAGAAGCCCCGGCUAAAUACGUGCCAGCAGCCGCGGUAAUACGUAUGGGGCAAGCGUUAUCCGGAUUUACUGGGUGUAAAGGGAGCGUAGACGGCAUAGCAAGUCUGAUGUGAAAGAUCGGGGCUCAACCCCGGGCCUGCAUUGGAAACUGUUAAGCUGGAGUACAGGAGAG
This 305-nucleotide ribosomal RNA is filed under the name uncultured bacterium. RNAcentral describes it as "bacterial SSU rRNA". It matches the Rfam family "Bacterial small subunit ribosomal RNA", at positions 334 to 656 of the family's 1533-position model. The record is from RNAcentral.